UGGAGCGUGUGGUUUAAUUCGAUGCGCGAAGAACCUUACCUGGGUUUGACAUAGGGGUAGUAGCAAGGUGAAAGCUGCGCGACCCUCCGGGGAGCCUCUACAGGUGCUGCAUGGCUGUCGUCAGCUCGUGUCGUGAGAUGUUGGGUUAAGUCCCGCAACGAGCGCAACCCUCGUCGUUAGUUACAAGUGUCUAACGGGACUGCCGGUUUCAAACCGGAGGAAGGUGGGGAUGACGUCAAGUCAGCAUGGCCUUUAUAUCUUGGGCA
Molecule: ribosomal RNA, 266 nt
Filed under: uncultured bacterium
Lineage: Bacteria
Description: partial 16S ribosomal RNA
Rfam family: Bacterial small subunit ribosomal RNA
Source: RNAcentral